Molecule: transfer RNA, 74 nt
Filed under: Acidobacteriota bacterium
Lineage: Bacteria; Pseudomonadati; Acidobacteriota
Description: Acidobacteria bacterium (groundwater metagenome) tRNA-Gly
Rfam family: tRNA
About the family: Transfer RNA (tRNA) molecules are approximately 80 nucleotides in length. Their secondary structure includes four short double-helical elements and three loops (D, anti-codon, and T loops).
Source: RNAcentral
GAGGCUGUCGUCCAGCGGCAGGACCGGGCGCCGCCAUCACCCAGACACGGGUUCAAAUCCCGUCAGCCUCUCCA